Long non-coding RNA from Mauremys reevesii (Reeves's turtle), 693 nucleotides. RefSeq lists it as uncharacterized. The record is from RefSeq and is a predicted model, not a curated record. The transcript is spliced from 2 exons. NCBI's taxonomy places the organism in Eukaryota, Metazoa, Chordata, Testudines, Geoemydidae.
GCUCAGCGAACCAGGACAUGUUUUUGACUCCAGCGCAGUCCAGCCAGUCCAGCACAGUCGAUCCUGAUGCAGGGGAAGGAACCUCUGCAGCUGCAAAUGUGGCCAUGAGGGUUUCUCCAUCCACACCAACAGAAUGGACGAGCCAGAUAAAGAGAAGAAGGAAAAGGACUUGGGAUGACAUGUUCCAAGAGAGCCUGCAAGCCUCCUUUGCCUCCAAUAAAAGCACAGGGCUUAGAGGAUCACCUUUGCAGACAACAUGGAGAGGGAUAGAGUGGAGAGGAAAAAGCUGCAGGAAAAGGAGAGGGACGUGCAGCUGGAGAUGUUUGCACUUCUCAAGCAGCAAACAGACAUGUUGCAGACUCUGGUGGAUCUGCAGGUUCAACAAUCCUAUGCUUGCCUCUCUCUGCAGCCCAUAGAGAACUGCAUAUCGGGAACUCUCGGUGCCCCCUGCCCCUCAACAUUCUGUGUGGCAUUGGACUGCUGCACUGUCCUUACCAUUCCACCCCUGGGAACAUUAAAGACAUUCACAGCUGCACAUAUGCUGGCCUGGGAAAGACAUGGUUGGUGUAUGUGAAUUUGAAAUGGAAAUGACUGUUCUUUCCCCAUCAUAAGUUCUUUUUCCUUAAUUUAUUAAGUUAAAAAUGUUUUUUCUGUUUGUAUCACUGUGGAAUAAAUGUGUUUUUGGAAAUGUAA